RNAcentral lists this transfer RNA (101 nucleotides) under Lentinula raphanica. RNAcentral's name for it is "tRNA-Gly". It matches the Rfam family "tRNA". Rfam says of the family: Transfer RNA (tRNA) molecules are approximately 80 nucleotides in length. Their secondary structure includes four short double-helical elements and three loops (D, anti-codon, and T loops). Lineage: Eukaryota; Fungi; Basidiomycota; Agaricomycetes; Agaricales; Omphalotaceae. The record is from RNAcentral.
AUUCACUUAGCUCAAUGGUUAGAGCACUUGAGUUCCAUAUGUUUCAAUUCCAUGAGAUUAUACAUACUCAAGUGGUGCGAGUUCGAUUCUCGCAGUGGACC